Molecule: ribosomal RNA, 463 nt
Filed under: uncultured bacterium
Lineage: Bacteria
Description: partial 16S ribosomal RNA
Rfam family: Bacterial small subunit ribosomal RNA
Source: RNAcentral
GAUGAACGCUGACAGAAUGCUUAACACAUGCAAGUCGAUGGGGAAGUGGUGCUUGCACCAUGGCAACCAUGGCGGACGGGUGAGUAACGCGUAAGGGACUUACCUGCAGGACUGGGAUAACAGGGGGAAACUCCUGACAAGACCGGAUAAUGUCAUGGAGCUGCAUGGCUUUAUGAUGAAAGGAGACGCCUGCGGAGAGCCUUGCGUCCUAUUAGCUAGUUGGUGAGGUAAUGGCUCACCAAGGCGAAGAUAGGUAGCCGGCCUGAGAGGGUGGACGGCCACAAGGGGACUGAGAUACGGCCCUUACUCCUACGGGAGGCAGCAGUGGAGAAUAUUGGACAAUGGGGGCAACCCUGAUCCAGCAAUUCUGUGUGCACGAAGAAGGUUUUCGGAUUGUAAAGUGCUUUCAGCAGGGAAGAAGUAAGUGGCGGUACCUGCAGAAGAAGCGACGGCUAAAUACGUG